CUUUUGAUGGCGACCGGCGCACGGGUGAGUAACACGUAUCCAACCUGCCUCAUACUCGGGGAUAGCCUUUCGAAAGAAAGAUUAAUACCCGAUGUUAUAGUCCUACCGCAUGAUGGGAUUAUUAAAGAAUUUCGGUAUGGGAUGGGGAUGCGUUCCAUUAGUUAGUUGGCGGGGUAACGGCCCACCAAGACAACGAUGGAUAGGGGUUCUGAGAGGAAGGUCCCCCACAUUGGAACUGAGACACGGACCAGACUCCUACGGAAGGCAGCAG
Molecule: ribosomal RNA, 271 nt
Filed under: uncultured bacterium
Lineage: Bacteria
Description: partial 16S ribosomal RNA
Rfam family: Bacterial small subunit ribosomal RNA
Source: RNAcentral